GAUGAACGCUGGCGGCGUGCCUAAUACAUGUAAGUCGAGCGAACAGACGAGGAGCUUGGUGAUAUGAUGUUAGAGGAGGAAGGGUGAGUAAAACGUGGAUAAAAUAAAUAUAAGAAUGGGAUAAGUUAGGGAAAACGGAGCUAAUACCGGAUAACAUGUUGAACCGCAUGGUUCAACAGUGAAAGACGGUCUUGCUGUCACUUAUAGAUGGAUCCGCGCCGCAUUAGCUAGUUGGUAAGGUAACGGCUUACCAAGGCAACGAUGCGUAGCCGACCUGAGAGGGUGAUCGGCCACACUGGAACUGAGACACGGUCCAGACUCCUACGGGAGGCAGCAGUAGGGAAUCUUCCGCAAUGGGCGAAAGCCUGACGGAGCAACGCCGCGUGAGUGAAGAAGGUCUUCGGAUCGUAAAACUCUGUUAUUAGGGAAGAACAAAUGUGUAAGUAACUAUGCACGUCUUGACGGUACCUAAUCAGAAAGCCACGGCUAACUACGUG
This 497-nucleotide ribosomal RNA is filed under the name uncultured bacterium. RNAcentral's name for it is "partial 16S ribosomal RNA". It matches the Rfam family "Bacterial small subunit ribosomal RNA", at positions 28 to 507 of the family's 1533-position model. The record is from RNAcentral.